CGUAGGGGGCAAGCGUUGUCCGGAUUUAUUGGGCGUAAAGAGCUCGUAGGCGGCUCUGUAAGUCAGGUGUGAAACCUCCAGGCUCAACCUGGAGACGCCACCUGAUACUGCUGUGGCUUGAGUCCGGUAGGGGAGCGUGGAAUUCCUGGUGUAGCGGUGAAAUGCGCAGAUAUCAGGAGGAACACCAGCGGCGAAGGCGGCGCUCUGGGCCGGAACUGACGCUGAGGAGCGAAAGCGUGGGUAGCAAACAGGAUUAGAUACCCUGGUAGUCCACGCCGUAAACGUUGGGCACUAGGUGUGGGUCCUUACCAACGGGAUCCGUGCCGUAGCUAACGCAUUAAGUGCCCCGCCUGGGGAGUACGGCCGCAAGGCUA
Molecule: ribosomal RNA, 374 nt
Filed under: uncultured organism
Description: bacterial SSU rRNA
Rfam family: Bacterial small subunit ribosomal RNA
Source: RNAcentral